This 26-nucleotide non-coding RNA is filed under the name Mus musculus (house mouse). Lineage: Eukaryota; Metazoa; Chordata; Mammalia; Rodentia; Muridae. The record is from RNAcentral.
UACCCCCACUGUGAUCACUUUAAUGA